ACUUGCUACUUGUGAGUUACUUAC
Molecule: non-coding RNA, 24 nt
Filed under: Arabidopsis thaliana (thale cress)
Lineage: Eukaryota; Viridiplantae; Streptophyta; Magnoliopsida; Brassicales; Brassicaceae
Source: RNAcentral